GUUCGCAUAUCCAGUGGCUCAAGGAUGGUGACAGGAAUACCACUUUUUUCACUCCACUACUGCUAGGUGUUGGCACUUUAAUCGCAUCACUCGUCUCCAUGAUGAAUCUGGAUCUUGGAUCACCGACAUGGAAAGAGGCUUCUGCUAUUCUCCAAAUCCCAGUCUGUUUCUCCAAGGAAGGACGGUUGGCUUUGGUCGCCUGCUAAAUCUGCUAUGUGUCGGUUAGUUUCUCCACUUCGUUUGGAUACUCGGGAGUUUAGUGGUGCUCAUUUCAAAUAUUGGAUUAAUUUUCUGAUGGUUAAAUUCAAAGAUGUCUGAUAAAGUUGAUUUUGAUACUAUUUGGACUUCUCUUC
Long non-coding RNA from Macadamia integrifolia, 353 nucleotides. RefSeq lists it as uncharacterized. The transcript is spliced from 3 exons. The record is from RefSeq and is a predicted model, not a curated record. Lineage: Eukaryota; Viridiplantae; Streptophyta; Magnoliopsida; Proteales; Proteaceae.